This 243-nucleotide ribosomal RNA is filed under the name uncultured Eubacteriales bacterium. RNAcentral's name for it is "uncultured Clostridiales bacterium partial 16S ribosomal RNA". It matches the Rfam family "Bacterial small subunit ribosomal RNA", at positions 796 to 1041 of the family's 1533-position model. The record is from RNAcentral. Lineage: Bacteria; Bacillati; Bacillota; Clostridia; Eubacteriales.
CACGCCGUAAACGAUGAAUGCUAGGUGUUGGGGGUCAAACCUCGGUGCCGAAGUUAACACAUUAAGCAUUCCGCCUGGGGAGUACGGUGGCAACACUGAAACUCAAAGGAAUUGACGGGGACCCGCACAAGCAGCGGAGCAUGUGGUUUAAUUCGAAGCAACGCGAAGAACCUUACCAGGUCUUGACAUCCUUUGCACGUUUUAGAGAUAGAACAUUCCCUUCGGGGACAAAGAGACAGGUGG